UUCUUGGAGGCUGAAAGAACACAUGGAGAGCAGUGUUUUUGCAGCUUCUGUGUUGGUAAGAGCCUGGAGUCUCUCUCUCUGUCUCUCUCUCUCUCUCUCUCUCUCUCUCUCUAUCACACACACACACACACACACACACACACAGAGCAAUCACUGCACCCAGCCACCUCUAUAUACAUGUACACAAAGCCACACAGUUUACACAGUCACAGGUAUUUAAGUACAGACUCACUAUUCACACACAAAUACCUAUAUAGACACACAUGUACAGUCCGUCCAAAAUAUAUGUACAUAAAAGCACACCAUUACACCUUCAUAUGUGCAUACACACACACCCCCAGACUCACUUCAUACAUACAUAGAUACAACAGCCACAGCUCCCCAUCACCUACACACACACACACACACACACACACCUGGACACCCAGCUCUAAUAUAAUCAGAUAGAGAUAUGCAUGCAGACAUAUUUGCCUGUAUAGUCAAACACAUAGGCAAAUAGAGAACGAGACACCACAUGAACAAAGGCAAACCUAUACACAAAGACACAGAGCACACUUACACAUAUAGCUAUAGAUCCACCAUGGCACAUAUGGGUAAGUGCACACAGGCAAACUCACACACACGAGCAUGCACAGGCAGAGAACACAAAUGUACACUCCCAGGUGUCAUAAAGAACAGCCCAGCUUUGGCUUGGGAACGUCACAUCAGACAAUAGGAUCGGCUGCACCGUGCGUUUCCUCAGCUGCCAGCUUCCCAGCCACAGAAGAUGCCUCACCUGCUAUGUCAGCUCCCCUCUGCCCCACCUCACAAGAAGCUCAGAAGCUGAGGAGUCAUAGGGAGACCUCCCUACUGUGUCAGAGGAAUAGGUCCUUCUGUCACGGGGCACAGGACCCUUGACCACAAAAUGACGUGAGUUACCACUGACCAUUUUCUGGGUCUUGAUCUUGUGACUCCAAAUGGAUGGUAAGCUCCUUAAGGGAAAGUCUAUGAUAUUCAUCCAACCAUCCAUCCAUCCUUUCAUUCACCCAACCAUCCAUCCAUCUGACCAUCAUCCAUCCAUCCAUCCAUCCAUCUAUCCAUCUUCUAUCCAUCUAUCUACUCACCCAUCCACCCAUCCAUUCAAUUAUUCAUCCAUCCUUCUUCCAUCCAUUCACCCAUCUUCCAUCCAUCUGUCCACCCAUCCAUUCCACCAUUUAUCCAUCCAACCACCAUCUAUUCAUCCAACCACUCGUCUAUUCAUCCCUCUGACCAUCCAACCAUCCAUCGAUUUGUUCAAUUAUUUUAUCAAGCAUCUACACUGCACCACACACCCUAAUGGGUGUUGAGGAGAAAAUGGAGAGUAAAAUCAGAUGGGACCUCUGACCUCAGUGCGGCUGACCAUCAGUCCGGUAGAGGAGACACGUAAACUGACAAUUACAAAUAAACACAAUGUGUCAACUCUGACAAGUGCUGUGAGGGAGAAAUCAGCAGUACUGAGAAAGCCUUUAUGGUCCUGGUGUGAGAGGCGGGAUGAGCCCAACACAGCAACAGCAGCAAGACCAUGGGGGAGUGUGGUGCAGAUGGGCAGGUGUACAGAGCAUGCAGGCCAUGUCUGCCAGCCCUCUCUUUGUGCAUUAGCAACAGUAAAACGGGGCUUGUGUUUGGGCAGAUUAUACCACUGGUCUUGCAUCCCAAAUGUCUCUUUGUUCACUCGUUUAUACAAACAUGCUCAAUAAUAUUUAUACAUUUUUACUGUGACAUCAUUUUCUUAUAUAAUAAAAGUGUCUAUUUAUGUACCGUAUAUGUAUAUAUAUAAUACACAGAUGCACACACACAAGCACACAUGCACAGAGCUUCUUGACAGUCAGUCCCUCAUAAGGUAGUCCACUGAAGUGCAGUCAUCACCAUCCUCAGACCUCAUGAUUAUAUAACUAGAGCACCUUAUAUUUUUAUAUUUUAUUAUGUAUUUAAUAAUCACAUAACUCUUUAGUGAAUGCCAAUUAAUUAGGAGAAUGACAUGCCUUCUCUCUGCUCCUCAUAACAUCCCCCUUAGAUAGGUUUUGUCUCCCCACUUACAAGAUGUGGAGACUGGGCCGGGCACAGUGACUCACGCCUGUAAUCCCAGCACUUUGGGAGGAUGAGGCGGGUGGAUCACAUGAGAUCAGGAGUUUGAGACCAUCCUGGCCAACAUGACAAAACCGUCUCUGCUAAAAAUACCAAAAUUAGCUGGGACUGGUGACACGUUCCUUUAAUUCCAGCUACUCGGGAGGUUGAGGCAGGAGAAUCGCUUGAACCCGGGAGGCAGAGGUUGUAGUGAGCCAAGAUCGUGCCACUGCACUCCAGCCUUGGUGACAGAGCAAGACUCUGUCUCAAAAAACAAACAAACACAC
Molecule: long non-coding RNA, 2369 nt
Filed under: Pan troglodytes (chimpanzee)
Lineage: Eukaryota; Metazoa; Chordata; Mammalia; Primates; Hominidae
Description: lincRNA
Source: RNAcentral